This 255-nucleotide ribosomal RNA is filed under the name uncultured bacterium. RNAcentral describes it as "partial 16S ribosomal RNA". It matches the Rfam family "Bacterial small subunit ribosomal RNA", at positions 524 to 776 of the family's 1533-position model. The record is from RNAcentral.
UACGUAGGGUGCAAGCGUUUGUCCGGAAUUAUUGGGCGUAAAGAGCUUGUAGGCGGUUUGUCGCGUCUGCCUGUGAAAUUUCGGGGCUCAACCCCGAACUUGCAGUGGGUACGGGCAGACUAGAGUGUGGUAGGGGAGACUGGAAUUCCUGGUGUAGCGGUGAAAUGCGCAGAUAUCAGGAGGAACACCGAUGGCGAAGGCAGGUCUCUGGGCCAUAACUGACGCUGAGAAGCGAAAGCAUGGGGAGCGAACAGG